This 1490-nucleotide ribosomal RNA is filed under the name uncultured bacterium. Its description in RNAcentral is "16S ribosomal RNA". It matches the Rfam family "Bacterial small subunit ribosomal RNA". The record is from RNAcentral.
AGAGUUUGAUCCUGGCUCAGGAUGAACGCUAGCUACAGGCUUAACACAUGCAAGUCGAGGGGCAGCAUGGUCUUAGCUUGCUAAGGCCGAUGGCGACCGGCGCACGGGUGAGUAACACGUAUCCAACCUGCCGUCUACUCUUGGACAGCCUUCUGAAAGGAAGAUUAAUACAAGAUGGCAUCAUGAGUCCACAUGUUCACAUGAUUAAAGGUAUUCCGGUAGACGAUGGGGAUGCGUUCCAUUAGAUAGUAGGCGGGGUAACGGCCCACCUAGUCUUCGAUGGAUAGGGGUUCUGAGAGGAAGGUCCCCCACAUUGGAACUGAGACACGGUCCAAACUCCUACGGGAGGCAGCAGUGAGGAAUAUUGGUCAAUGGGCGAGAGCCUGAACCAGCCAAGUAGCGUGAAGGAUGACUGCCCUAUGGGUUGUAAACUUCUUUUAUAAAGGAAUAAAGUCGGGUAUGCAUACCCGUUUGCAUGUACUUUAUGAAUAAGGAUCGGCUAACUCCGUGCCAGCAGCCGCGGUAAUACGGAGGAUCCGAGCGUUAUCCGGAUUUAUUGGGUUUAAAGGGAGCGUAGAUGGAUGUUUAAGUCAGUUGUGAAAGUUUGCGGCUCAACCGUAAAAUUGCAGUUGAUACUGGAUGUCUUGAGUGCAGUUGAGGCAGGCGGAAUUCGUGGUGUAGCGGUGAAAUGCUUAGAUAUCACGAAGAACUCCGAUUGCGAAGGCAGCCUGCUAAGCUGCAACUGACAUUGAGGCUCGAAAGUGUGGGUAUCAAACAGGAUUAGAUACCCUGGUAGUCCACACGGUAAACGAUGAAUACUCGCUGUUUGCGAUAUACUGCAAGCGGCCAAGCGAAAGCGUUAAGUAUUCCACCUGGGGAGUACGCCGGCAACGGUGAAACUCAAAGGAAUUGACGGGGGCCCGCACAAGCGGAGGAACAUGUGGUUUAAUACGAUGAUACGCGAGGAACCUUACCCGGGCUUAAAUUGCAGAUGAAUUACGGUGAAAGCCGUAAGCCGCAAGGCAUCUGUGAAGGUGCUGCAUGGUUGUCGUCAGCUCGUGCCGUGAGGUGUCGGCUUAAGUGCCAUAACGAGCGCAACCCUUGUUGUCAGUUACUAACAGGUUCUGCUGAGGACUCUGACAAGACUGCCAUCGUAAGAUGUGAGGAAGGUGGGGAUGACGUCAAAUCAGCACGGCCCUUACGUCCGGGGCUACACACGUGUUACAAUGGGGGGUACAGAGGGCCGCUACCACGCGAGUGGAUGCCAAUCCCAAAAACCUCUCUCAGUUCGGACUGGAGUCUGCAACCCGACUCCACGAAGCUGGAUUCGCUAGUAAUCGCGCAUCAGCCACGGCGCGGUGAAUACGUUCCCGGGCCUUGUACACACCGCCCGUCAAGCCAUGGGAGCCGGGGGUACCUGAAGUGCGUAACCGCGAGGAGCGCCCUAGGGUAAAACUGGUGACUGGGGCUAAGUCGUAACAAGGUAGCCG